GGCCUAAUAUUUUAAAUUAAAAAGCUUGAUUUGCGUUCAAGUAACAGGUAAUAUUAUAUUCCUUUAGGCUA
RNAcentral lists this transfer RNA (71 nucleotides) under Pomacea bridgesi. RNAcentral describes it as "tRNA-Ala". Lineage: Eukaryota; Metazoa; Mollusca; Gastropoda; Architaenioglossa; Ampullariidae. The record is from RNAcentral. RNAcentral also lists the same sequence under 1 other name.